Non-coding RNA from Triticum aestivum (bread wheat), 115 nucleotides. The record is from Rfam. NCBI's taxonomy places the organism in Eukaryota, Viridiplantae, Streptophyta, Magnoliopsida, Poales, Poaceae.
AUUAUACUCCCUCCGUUUCAAAUUACUCAUCGCAGAAAUGGAUGUAUCUAGAACUAAAAUACAUCUAGAUACAUUCAUAUCCGCGACAAGUAAAUCGGAACGGAGGGAGUAUGUG